AUAAUACUCCCUCCGUCCCAAAAUUCUUGUCUUAGAUUUGUCUAGAUACGGAUGUAUUAACACUAAAAUGUAACUAGAUACAUCGGUAUUUGGACAAAAUCUAAGACAAGAGUUUUGGGACAAAGGAAGUAUAAA
Triticum aestivum (bread wheat) is the source of this 135-nucleotide non-coding RNA. Lineage: Eukaryota; Viridiplantae; Streptophyta; Magnoliopsida; Poales; Poaceae. The record is from Rfam.